Molecule: long non-coding RNA, 516 nt
Organism: Homo sapiens (human)
Lineage: Eukaryota; Metazoa; Chordata; Mammalia; Primates; Hominidae
Product: long intergenic non-protein coding RNA 2248
Source: Ensembl
GUGCAUAUGCACAGAAAGUUCUAGAAGAACCCAGGAGGCAGUGUGAGCCUGAGAAGCAAAACCACAAAGAGAACAGAGGGAAACUCACGGACAAUGGUGGGAGAAGCAGAGCCAGUGUGCACAGAGCAGUAAAGGGCAGAACCAGGAGCCGACAAGAGUCUCGAAGCCUCAGGCGGGGCGCCAGGGAGGUCUGCAGCUGACAGUGAGGGGAUCAGUGCCACCCAGGUCCUCUAUGGGAUUCCUGAAUUGUUGUGGAGACUGGAGCAGCUGGGAUCCCUCGCUCUCAUGUUUUCAGUUCUCUGUGGGGCUUGAAGGUGUGGCUGCCGUGUGGAAAUGGACUCAGGUCAUUGACUAACAACAUCAACAAUGAAAUGAAUCUGAGAAAACAGGAAAUUGAGAGCAAGAGAAAAAAAAGUUAAUUAUACUGAUUUUGUAUAAGACCCCUUUGAACACAUUUUUAAAAAAUCAAAUAGAAGGUGCCCAGGUCCACUGUGCCUUGUGAAUAUUUGUCUUGUA